RNAcentral lists this ribosomal RNA (253 nucleotides) under uncultured bacterium. RNAcentral's name for it is "partial 16S ribosomal RNA". It matches the Rfam family "Bacterial small subunit ribosomal RNA", at positions 524 to 776 of the family's 1533-position model. The record is from RNAcentral.
UACGUAGGGCGCGAGCGUUGUCCGGAAUUAUUGGGCGUAAAGAGCGUGUAGGCGGCCACACAGGUCUGCUGUGAAAACUCGAGGCUCAACCUCGAGCUGUCGGUGGAAACCGUGUGGCUAGAGUCCGGAAGAGGAGAGUGGAAUUCCCGGUGUAGCGGUGAAAUGCGCAGAUAUCGGGAAGAACACCCGUGGCGAAGGCGGCUCUCUGGGACGGUACUGACGCUGAGACGCGAAAGCGUGGGGAGCGAACAGG